UGCCUGAGACAAGAGUUAAAAAGCUUCUGAUUGUGAAGGCAGUGAAAUCCACUCUCAGUGAUCAGAAUGCUACGGUGAGGAAGGCAGCUCUUCAUUUCAUCAGGACGCUGCUCAGUUCAGGAAGUGUGGAGAAUUGUGCAGCAUGGGAUCUGGUAGCAUAUGUUUUCAGCGAGUUCAGUGUGUCCACCAGCAAACUGCAGGGUACAACACUUCUCACCCAGGAUGUUGAGGAAGAAAGCACGAUCCAAACCCUGUGCAUUGACAUCCUGCAAUGUCUGGACACCUCAGUCAAUGGAAUGAC
Molecule: non-coding RNA, 301 nt
Organism: Caretta caretta (loggerhead turtle)
Lineage: Eukaryota; Metazoa; Chordata; Testudines; Cheloniidae
Source: RefSeq, a predicted model, not a curated record